Passer domesticus (house sparrow) is the source of this 589-nucleotide long non-coding RNA. RefSeq lists it as uncharacterized. The transcript has 4 exons. Lineage: Eukaryota; Metazoa; Chordata; Aves; Passeriformes; Passeridae. The record is from RefSeq and is a predicted model, not a curated record.
UCUGUUUGCAAGCACACAGGAGUGUGUGCACUAAAGGCAGGAGCUUUUCUUACCGAAGACCUGCUGCUGAAUCAUUUCCACACAUGAACAAAAUGAAAUAAUUAUGACUUUGGAUGUGAAGUUACAUCAAGGCCUUUCAUAACACCUCUGCUUCCUCCUCCCAGGUACUUCCCCUGUGGUACCACAGCGUUCCCAGCCGAGGACACGCUGCCUAGGAGAAAUUCCCUCCCUGAAAGAGUGGUCAGGAAUUGGAACAGACUGACCAGGAAAUGGUGGAAUCUCCAUCCCUGGAAGUGUCAAAGAAGGUGUUGCUGCUGUUCAGGAUUUCCACAAAACUCCCCUCACACUGAUAUGUAAUAGCUGAGAAAUGCAGGUUCCUACAGGCUUGGAUUUAACCUUUAGGUGGCUACUGAAUUGAACCCAUUUUAUCCUGAUUUUCAGAACUCACAGAGUUCCUAAUGUAGGAGGUUUGUAGACAGAGCAGAUGGUGCUGUCCUUUCCUUCAAGGUCGGGGAAAAAAAUAAAGCUGCAGUCAGAUCUGGGUGCCUGAAGUGAAGUGGAGAUUGUGGAACCUCCCUGUCCCAGGGCA